GUUCGAUUCGAGCGAAAGCGAGAAAGCUUUGCCGCAGGCAACGACCCGAAGGGCGAAACGCGCAGCGCUGAGUCAUCCUUCCCCCACCACCA
RNAcentral lists this small RNA (92 nucleotides) under Salmonella enterica subsp. enterica serovar Muenchen. RNAcentral describes it as "partial RtT sRNA". It matches the Rfam family "RtT RNA", at positions 41 to 130 of the family's 130-position model. From Rfam's summary of the family: This family represents a bacterial cis-regulatory element known as RtT RNA. The record is from RNAcentral. RNAcentral also lists the same sequence under 3 other names. Lineage: Bacteria; Pseudomonadati; Pseudomonadota; Gammaproteobacteria; Enterobacterales; Enterobacteriaceae.